CCUACGGGAGGCAGCAGUGGGGGAUUUUGCACAAUGGGGGAAACCCUGAUGCCGCGACGCCGCGUGUGGGAAGACGGUCCUCUGGAUUGUAACCCACUGUCCCCAGGGACGAAGAUGACGGUACCUGGGGAGGAAGCUCCGGCUAACUACGUGCCAGCAGCGGCGGUAAUACGUAGGGAGCAAGGGGUGUCCGGAAUUACUGGGUGAAACGGGAGCGUAGGCGGGAUGGCAAGUUGGGUGUUAAAUCUACCGGCUCAACUGGUAGUCGCACUCAAAACUGCUAUUCUUGAGUGAAGUAGAGGCAGGCGGAAUUCCUAGUGUAGCGGUGAAAUGCGUAGAUAUUAGUAAGAACACCAGUGGCGAAGGCGGCCUGCUGAGCUUUUACUGACGCUGAGGCUCGAAAGUGUGGGGAGCAAACAGGAGUAGAUACCCCUGUAGUC
Molecule: ribosomal RNA, 440 nt
Filed under: uncultured bacterium
Lineage: Bacteria
Description: partial 16S ribosomal RNA
Rfam family: Bacterial small subunit ribosomal RNA
Source: RNAcentral